Molecule: small nucleolar RNA, 128 nt
Organism: Impatiens glandulifera
Lineage: Eukaryota; Viridiplantae; Streptophyta; Magnoliopsida; Ericales; Balsaminaceae
Product: small nucleolar RNA snoR77
Exons: 1
Source: RefSeq, a predicted model, not a curated record
AGGCAACCCCCAUUCAAUAAAAAGUGGAUAGGGAGGUGUUUAUCUGUUCGUAAAUCAAAUCUUUUAACUCUUCAGACUUGCUGAGAUGUUCGCAUCUAUGAAGUUGGUCUAGUAAGAUGAAGUACAUA